GCGGCUGCGAGAGCCCUGUCUGUCCCAGGACUGUGGGGGUGGUUUGUAUCGGUCCCCAUUCGGGUGCUGUACCUCAGCAGAUGGUGAUGCCGGUGCUCCCUGGCGUCACUUAGGACACAGUGGAGAAUGCUCCAGGGAAAGAAGUCCCGUUGGCGCCAGCGUUUUCUUGCGUUCAGCCAUGGGCAGGGUUACAGUAAACGGUUUCCUCUCGCUUCCUUCUGAGAUCCUGUGCCAGGGCAGGAGAUCAGGGAAUUCGUGGUAGCUGGAGCUUGUGGCUCCCUGUGGCCAGGCCGGUCGCUGGAGAGCCAGGUUUGGGCACUGAUGGCUCCUCUUCCUAAGGUUGGUGUGAAAUUGCACCCCAGCUUCUGCCUGCUGAAGGAGCAAUUGCCCUUGGAGCACCCAAAAUGCUGUUCCCUGCACCAUGUCCAUCAGCUGGAGUGCAUUGUCUGCAGGGAUGCUGGGGUGACCUGUCCCAGGCAUGGAGGUGACGACGGCCGCGCUGUGUCCCCGGAGAUGGUGGCUGUACGCACAGGAAACUGUGGCCUCGGGUGUUCGGGUGCUGCUCACAGCCAAAGUGUGGCAGGACCCCACAAAAACAGCGCGGCUGGCUUAGGGCUGGGCUUAAGCCACCGGACAGCCCUAUGCUGAUGCGCUCCCGUACCUUCCAUCAUGACCGUGACACCUGCAUCUAUGCUCAGGUAAUGCUUACGGAUACGUGGAUGGUAUUGCAUCGCUCAUCCUUAUACUGGCAGAAAGUUUGAUUACUCCACACUAGCCAGCAAUGUCAUUACAUUAAAUAGAAGGGGAACCUUUUCCUUACUGAAUUUUUUUAUUGUGUUCAGCUUCACUCAGUAGGGGAAAACAAGUCUAUAAAAGUGCCGCUAGCUUGUUUCAUCUUCUGCACGUGCACCCACCUCAUUUUCACGCCCUGGCGAGGGGUGUCAGAUGCAGCCUGGCCACCCGAGCGGUCGUGGACUGGCCCAAUUUCCUGCAGAGCGCAGCGAAGGCCGUAGAUAUCAACUUCAAAGGUAAACAAUUACCUUUUAUUAUCACACAUGGCUUUAGCUCUACCAGUUUCAAAUAGCACAUAAUCACAAGUCUGUGAUAACAUUUACUCCUGAUGAGAGAAAAUUUACCAAGUACUAAAUUGCUGCUGAGAUGACGGGAGCAUGAGCCAGGCAGAAUUAACUCCGAUGAUGAGUCAGCAGACGUUAAUGUCUUGCACCACGCUGGAGACAUCUGCCGAGCCGUCCACUGUUGAAUCAUCUUAAAUAUUUCUGUGUUAUUACCCCUCCAGGAACAAGCAUCGGAGAACUUUUGUGUCUCUGUGUUAUAUAUGCAUAAGCUAUUUUAAAAUAAAUAUAUGCAGGCAUAUAACAAGUGUAUGCGUUUAGGUAUGUAGGUAAUUUUCAGCUACGGGAAGGAUGAGCAACCAGCAACUAUUUAAAGUAAAACAUGCAUGGAAAUGCUAAUAGCAAUUGCCUACAUUUGGUGCUUAGAAAGUGAUAGCUUUGCUCAGUUGUGGCUCUGAUGAGCCUGGGAGGGUGACCUCGUGUCCACGCUGUAUGCCCUCAACUUUCAUGCAGACCAGCCUGGUCAAGCUUGGAGUGGGAGCCAGAAGUUCACUAAAGGGUCCCCAUGUUUUUAAAACUAAUCCCUCAAGAACAGCUGCAGGGUGCUGCGUUCAAGUGUAUCAUCACUUUGGCUUCUUCCAUUUUUUUUUUCCAUAUGCCCAGAAUGUCUAUAUGUAGUUAGAUAAAUGUAGUAACUAGGCGCAAUCAAGAGCAUCAGAUGAAUUCAGUGGAGAGGGGCAAAUGACUUCUUAAACGAGAUCCUUUUUCACUGAAGGCCCUGCAACUGUGCCAUCAUACGCUGUCCUUCUGCAGCAGAUCUUCUGCAGAUGCUAAAGACAGUGGCGCAUAACUGGGGGUGCCGAAGGACUUUACUCUGGGCAACGUGACGAUUGCACAAAGGAAGAGGCUGAGCUUUUAUUCAGUAAAUUCUUUGUUGCAUUCAGCUUAACGCAAGUUGUUUUAAAGUACGUUGUUCUAUCUGGCCUUAAUUAAUUUAAACUUUUGCAAACAUAAUUACCCAAUUGUAUGCACGUGAGAACUGCAGUAAUUCAGCGCACAUCAUGCAAAGCUGCAUUUUUUUGAAACUCUGACUCUCUGAGGUCUGGAGGUCAAAAGUUAAUUUUAGUGAGAUAUGUGAGAGUUGUCCAUGUUUGCCAAAAAAAAUUGUUGUUUCAGGCAUUCUGCAGUCUGAGUGUCACUGCUCCAACUCGUGUUUUUAAAGUUUCCCCACCCCCUUAAUAUUUCAGACGCAACUUAAACAAAACACCACCCAACCCACCCGGUGUUUUGGAAAGCAGGGUCAGAGCAGCCUUGGCUGUUGUUGAGGGGACGUGGGAAGCACAAGCUGACAGUGGAGCUGGUGCCCCGCAGGUGCAGCCAUGGGGUGGUGGGACCAGACAGCCUCGCGGUGCCCGUCCUCCCUCUCCUGUUCUCCUCCUCGCUGCCGCUGAUGCUGGGCUUAGCCUCUGCUCAAGGCAAGCCCAUGGCUGCCUGCCAUCUGAUGGAGGUGCUCUGAGCCCCUGUCCCCCUCUUGCCGGGACCUGGGCGUAAGCGCCCGUCGGUCCCCACUCAUGGGCCUGUGACCUCAGGGCUUCUGAACAGGUUCGAUGCUAGAUGCUUAAAAUAGCUCAAAGGAAAUGAUGUGAACAUCCCCUGCACGCUGGGUUUUGCACUCAAACACUGCUUUUUCCAAAAAAUUAGCUCUAGCAACUCAUCUUGAGGCGCCCUAAAAUAACAACUUAGUAUUUAAUGAACAUUAAGGGGGAAUUAAAUUAAACUAAACAGUAGCUUGGUUUCAGCCUUCUCAGUAGUGGCUGCACAAAAAUAAGGCAGUGUUUUUAGACCAAAUAAGAAAUCCAUCCUUUGAGGAUUGGUUUACAGUCCUCCAGAAUUUUCCACAAGGUUAAUAACCAAGUGAAACGUCCUGGCGGGAACGAUCACGUUCCCGCUACUGCCCAGUCAUUAGAAUGGUGCGUCAGGAGGUUUCGAGUAAGUCGCAAUACUUUUCUUCUACUGUGGAAGACGAUGCAUCUCCAUAUUUAUUUGAAACGCUUUCUCCCAUUUUCCUUUGCAUGCUGAACUUCUUGGGCACAGUGCAUUAACUCUUCUUGAAGUACAAAAUGGAGAACACAAGUGCCAGAACAUUUUUGUCAAUGGUUUCCAAAAACUAUGGAAUUUCCUGCCCAGCUACAUCAGAUCAGCCAACAACUUUGUAAUUGCUAAAAACAGCCUGUUGAUUUUCCUCCCAAGUGUUUCAGCUGGCCUGGCUGAGCUUUCUCUUUUCCACUGUCUUGAGAUGUUUCUCUCAUUGUGCACUGUGCUGUGUUUUUAUGGUCAACAUAUCCUAUAGCAAACAAUUUCAGGCUGAUGGCGGAAGGGAGAUUGGGUUCAGGUUAGAGAUUUGAGCCCAAGAUGGGGAGCCAGGAAUGCCUCAGUUCCUGGACCAGAUCUGCCACUAAAUCAGGAAUCCACAUAAAGCAAAGCCACAUGAUGAGCAUUUGUAUGAUGAUUUGAUUUUCUGUGCAGAGGAGGAAGUGAGUGUUUGAAUGCGGUUCUCUCCUUGGCGUGCCCGCUGCAACCGAAGCCGUGGCUACAGGUGGGCUGUGAGCGGGGGGCAGGGAGCAGGUUACCUCCAAGGGGAGGGUGAGAUUCAGGAGGCUGCUGUCUAGUUGGGGACCAGGAGUAUUCACCAGAGUGGUACUUGGACUGACAUCUCAGUGGUAAAUGCAAAUAAAUUAGUUAAGUACGCCUAUAUGAAAUUUUCCUGCUGAAAAAUUCAUUCUAUAAAAACAUUUAUACUGUAUUCUUUAUUGUCAGCUAAUCCUGACCAAACUCAUUAAAUGGCAGUGUGUGGGUUACUCGCUGUCAGUGAAAUUAUCAAAGGCAUUUUUCAGCUGGUGCACCGGGAAAGCAUGUGCUUCAAUGCCAACUAAAACAAUAACGAGGAAAUGUUAUGAUCAGACUUGACCAAAUGACCUUUCCCAUUUUAGAUUAGUUCUUAAUUUCAGCGCAAGGGUCAUCCUGUGAGAAUACUUACAAUAAGUCACUGCUCACCUCUCACAUGAAAAAGAAGUGACUUAUUAGAAAUCUCACUGUACUCAUUGCAGUUAAUGAGAUGUGGAAAGCUUUGUAAUUUGAUUUGCUGGACCAUAUGCUGUAAAGGGAUACUGCUGAUUUCAUUCCUCCACAUUUAAUUUAAGCAGUAUGCAAUGGCUUCUUCGUA
Phalacrocorax carbo (great cormorant) is the source of this 4296-nucleotide non-coding RNA. The record is from RefSeq and is a predicted model, not a curated record. NCBI's taxonomy places the organism in Eukaryota, Metazoa, Chordata, Aves, Suliformes, Phalacrocoracidae.